RNAcentral lists this ribosomal RNA (490 nucleotides) under uncultured bacterium. RNAcentral describes it as "partial 16S ribosomal RNA". It matches the Rfam family "Bacterial small subunit ribosomal RNA", at positions 30 to 507 of the family's 1533-position model. The record is from RNAcentral.
AUUGAACGCUGGCGGCAGGCCUAACACAUGCAAGUCGAACGGUAACAGGAAGAAGCUUGCUUCUUUGCUGACGAGUGGCGGACGGGUGAGUAAUGUCUGGGAAACUGCCUGAUGGAGGGGGAUAACUACUGGAAACGGUAGCUAAUACCGCAUAACGUCGCAAGACCAAAGAGGGGGACCUUCGGGCCUCCUGCCAUCGGAUGUGCCCAGAUGGGAUUAGCUAGUAGGUGGGGUAACGGCUCACCUAGGCGACGAUCCCUAGCUGGUCUGAGAGGAUGACCAGCCACACUGGAACUGAGACACGGUCCAGACUCCUACGGGAGGCAGCAGUGGGGAAUAUUGCACAAUGGGCGCAAGCCUGAUGCAGCCAUGCCGCGUGUAUGAAGAAGGCCUUCGGGUUGUAAAGUACUUUCAGCGGGGAGGAAGGGAGUAAAGUUAAUACCUUUACUCAUUGACGUUACCCGCAGAAGAAGCACCGGCUAACUCCGUG